Molecule: long non-coding RNA, 2520 nt
Organism: Phyllostomus hastatus (greater spear-nosed bat)
Lineage: Eukaryota; Metazoa; Chordata; Mammalia; Chiroptera; Phyllostomidae
Exons: 5
Source: RefSeq, a predicted model, not a curated record
CACCGAGUGCGGAAACGGGGUUAGGCGUGAGGGCCCGCUGCCCAGCACCCUCUGCCCGUUCCGAUCCUCCCCUUUCGGCAGGCCCCUCCCCACUUCUGUGGCAGGCUGGGUGCCAGCGUCCUCCCCUGCGGAGGUGCUAUCCCCCCUGCUGGGUUCUCCACUGAGUUAAGGGAAAAAGGGGAGGGCAUGUCUUUCUCAGGGAGCACCCCUAAAGCACACCAUGACAGGUUGAAUUAGCAGCAUAAACUGACCACUUACUCCCCCUCCCCGGGCCUCGUUUCUAACAGGGACACACAACCACCCUCAGCUCUUGGAGUUCUGUUGGCCUGUCACAGGGGUUCAGGGAUCCCCAAUUCCUCGACUGAGGAAGGCAAGGAGGGAAAGCAUAAAGGAGGGGCAACAAGAGGAAUCAACCCUCUGGACUCAGCCAUCCACGGCUGUGAGGACAGCUGGUCCUGUCUUCCCUGGACUGUCCCCUCCAGCCAUCAUCAAGCCUGAGAUAACACGAAGAGGCUGAGAUUAUAGCAGGAGGAGCUUCAGUAACUGAACGCCACCGCCCAGGGAGCCCUCUCUGCAGGGCAUGCUGACUCCCCCUAGCAAGGUCGGAACCCCUGUACGCUGGGUGGCAGGGCCCUCCAGCGUCAACCCAAACUUCCUGCUCAGUGCUGCUGUCUCCAGGUGCCAAGCCAGCCUGGGACAGAAGCCUCACUCAGUCAGGGUCCCUGACAAGGAGGAUGUCCCCACUCCCGCCCCAUGAGAAAGUCUGGGGUCUUUUACGAUUGCCUCUACCCCAGAGGCCCGACGCCCACCAGUACUGGUCCACAGCAGAUGGAGAACUGCUUUACGUGCAUUUACACUUGAACGCAGGACAGUGGGUGCGGGCCAUACUAGGUGUCGCCUAGUUGGCCCCGUAGGUAUCAUCAAGACUAGGAAGCUAAUCACUGAAUAUUAUGAGAAUGAAAAUAGAGUAAGUGCUAUUUUUGCUUAAAUGUGUAUAUAUUUUAAUAUAUGAAUAUAGUAGAAAAAAGUCUUAACAUGCUAAAAUGUUAAAAAACCAUUAGAGCUUGGUGGUUGAAUUUUGCUUGACUUAGAAGAAUUUUUACCUUGUUUUUCUGUAUUUUGUCAUUUUCUCACAGUAAAUGUAUUCUACUGUACUUUUCUUAAAUAAAGAACAAUAAAGAGUGUGGAGGAAGCAACAAGGGGAACCUCUCACCUCUGCCCUGAGAUAAGUGGAACGCAGGCGCAGUGGAAACCGUGAGAGCUGGGGGACAGAACCCAUGCCAUCUCGGCCCACAAACCACUACAGAAAAGCACACGGGCAGAGCCUGGCCUGUGUCCGAGACCUUUAGUUUUUCUUUUCCUUUUUUUAUGAGGGAAAGUCCAUUUUGAAAGUCACAGAGGUGGAAGAAGUAAUCCACAGAAGACUGGGCUCAGGAAGCGAGUUCCAGAGGCAGGAGGAGGGCCCUUGGAGUGCAGGAGAGAGGAAGAGCGAGCGAGGAGCCAGAGGGCACUCUGAGCAGCACCCGGAGUACAGGGGGACCCUGAAAUAACAAGUAACUGUACAGCAAACACCCCAGAACACGUGACUGUACGGCGCCACAAUCAUGGGGUUGUUACUCCGCUGGACUCAAACCGCGGGGAGGCUGGGCUGGGCUCUGAGUGAGCCUUCCGUUGGAAGCGACAGCACAGUUGACUGAAGUGAGCUGCAGCCUGCUGGCGCCCCCCGUCGCACCGUUUCAGUGGGGUCUCAUUUCCCUCCCCAGCUGGCUCUCGAGAUACUCCUCUAGGCUGCAAACCAGCAUUUGUAAGUACUUCUCCCGGGACCACUCAGAGUUUUGUGGCCCCUGCGCUGCGGACCUGGGCAGCCAAAACCGAGACCCACCGAUCUCCCUGCCAUGGUACCCUGAGAUGAACAGAGCUGCACCCUCAAACUGACCACGCGAGGGAAACGAGAAGCAUUUCCCGUUGGUGUUUGGAAAUGAAAAGUGGCUAAGAAAUGGCGCAGGUACGGAACUACAAGAUUGUGAUCAAAGACUUUAGAACCUCAUUAACUCGGAAGCUUAUAUUUAAACUGUGUACUCUGGACCUACAUUGUGCUGAGCUUCUCCUUUGCGUGGAGGCUGCAAAGGGACUCUCAGGCAGUUAUGUACCGUAACUGUGUUACACCACUUCCACCGUUUUAACUGGGCCAUUUGCCCUUUCCAGCAGCUUAUGUCCAGUCACUGAGACCGACAUUCAGCAACAACACUGGUCACCUCCUCAUUACCAAAGCCAAGAGACCCUCUUCAGUUCUUGACCUUCGACCAUUCCUGCCUCCUCGAAAACACCAUGGGCUCUGCCUGGUGCGGCUCAGUGGACUGAGUGCCGGCCUGCAGACCGAAAAGUCACCAGUUCGAUUCCCAGUCAGGGCACGUGCCUGGGCUGCGGCAGGAACGCGAGAGGCGCCCAAACUGUGUUUCUCUCACACAUCGAUGCUCCUCUCCCUCUCUUUUCCCUUUGUUCCCCUCUCUCUAAAAAUAA